CGGUUCUGUCUUCCUUCUCCGAUCAGCUUCUCUAUUUGUCGGUCUUCUUCUUUCCAAUGCCAGCAACUCGCCGCCGGCCUUCUCACCAUCAACGCCAUCUGCUUCAGCGGUGUGGAAGUCACCGGAUUUCCACUUUGGUCUGCUGCCCUGUUUCAUUUCUGAAUUUUUCAGCUUCAUCCUCGGUGUGUAAGGCAGUUGGUUGAAACAUCCUUUCUCUUUUCUAGUGGCAGCUCCACUGCACUUUGGUUGUAGGCAUUAGUUCCAAGAAGGAUAAAGGGAAAGCAUCAGAGGCUUGGAAACUCAGUUUCCUAUUAUAGGCCUCUCGUAAUUUUAAUUGCAUAUGUGUAAUUAAUUGAUAUUGCCAACUAAGAUGUCCAUAUUUUGUUAUUAUUUGUACUAUUGAAUAUUGAGUAUUGAAAGGUAUAUUUUAGGCCUAGUGCAGGUGGUAUCUUUUUAGGUGAGAUAGAUGAGUAAGGUCAAAAUAUUAA
Molecule: long non-coding RNA, 488 nt
Organism: Prosopis cineraria
Lineage: Eukaryota; Viridiplantae; Streptophyta; Magnoliopsida; Fabales; Fabaceae
Exons: 3
Source: RefSeq, a predicted model, not a curated record